AUGCCGCCAGAAUACAUUAAGGGUUCUGCUAUAUCAAAGAAGUUUGACGUGUUCAGUUUGGGAGCUAUAAUUAUAAGAAUAGUGGAUGGAAACAAGUGUGACUUGCGCUAUUCUUCUAUGGAUGCCCAACAAUUUAUUAAGCAAGUAAGAGAAAAGUGGGAGAGAAGGCUGCAGGGAAGGUCGAGUUAUCAAUCACAUGAAAAAGACAUAGUGCAAGUUAACAAAUGUCUUGAAAUAGCAUUACGAUGUGUGGACGAUGACAGAACUAAAAGGCCUGCUAUAAAGGAUAUUGUCAGUGAACUGGAAGAACUAGAAGCAGAGAUUAAGAAAAUGUCACCCCAUUCUGAUAAGUCAAAAGACCCAAUUGGUCAGUGUGGUGGGGGGUCUUCAGAGGUUCGCAAUCCGAGCUGGUCCAGAGAGGAAGAGGCCUACUUUAGGUAUCUCACUACUUAUCGUCAAGAGGUAGUUGAACAUGAUGCCAAACGGACUUUGCUCGACGACUACCGUGCACAAAAAAUGGAGAACAUGUACUUGGCGAUGGAAAAUGGCACUCGGGCUCCAGCAAUGGGACCACCACCACCCAAUCCUGGACCAGCCCCAGUAAUGCUGACGAUCGAAGAAUUCUUGGCACGUGGUGGCGACGGGACUUUGGGAUCCGGCCACGGAUCAAACAUAGGUGGUACUCCUGGUGAUGGUACUCCUGCUUCACGGAACCCGAUCACCCCACUUCAUAACCCAGGUGGUAAUGCUGGUGGUGCUUCUACCUCGAGCCAUGGAUCGCCUCUUUUUUGA
RNAcentral lists this ribosomal RNA (792 nucleotides) under Triticum aestivum (bread wheat). Its description in RNAcentral is "partial small subunit ribosomal RNA". The record is from RNAcentral. Lineage: Eukaryota; Viridiplantae; Streptophyta; Magnoliopsida; Poales; Poaceae.